Molecule: ribosomal RNA, 249 nt
Filed under: uncultured bacterium
Lineage: Bacteria
Description: partial 16S ribosomal RNA
Rfam family: Bacterial small subunit ribosomal RNA
Source: RNAcentral
CCUUGCCUACGGGGGGCAGCAGUGAGGAAUAUUGGUCAAUGGACGAGAGUCUGAACCAGCCAAGUAGCGUGAAGGAUGACUGCCCUAUGGGUUGUAAACUUCUUUUAUAAAGGAAUAAAACGAGGCACGUGUGCCUUUUUGCAUGUACUUUAUGAAUAAGGAUCGGCUAACUCCGUGCCAGCAGCCGCGGUAAUACGGGGGAUCCGAGCGUUAUCCGGAUUUAUUGGGUGUAAAGGGCGUGUAGGCGGG